ACAACACAAUGGAGCUGGAGAGUGGUGGAGUGCCCAUGAGGCGAUUUACCUGGGGUUGCCCUUCUGCGGAUGGCCCUGGGUGUGUCCACCUGAGAUGUCUCAGAAGGUGUUGUGUGUUGGCCAGUAGAGUGAAACAACAAAGAGAUCCUUUGGUGGCAACUGAAGAACAGUAGCACUGUAGUCACCAGGGACCAGCAGGAUGCCGGCUUCUUGGACCUAACCCGCCUUCAUGGAUGGUCAGUCAGUGUCACUCAAACUAGGGCCUCUUGGUUUCCACCGCCAUCUUGUCUCCAGAAGGCAUCAGCAUCUCAGGAUCCAGUUCAAGAACUCAGAAGCUUCAUCUCUUCCCAGGACCAGCUGCUGAGCCCAAUACCCAGAGCUGGGCAGGAAGAGCCCAGGCCCUUGAAUAGCGAUGACAUCAAGUUAGCCCUCCUUCCCCCAGCCAAGCUCUGCUUUGGAGCCCGUGAGGCACCAGUGGUUUCCAACAUGGCACCAUGAGCCUUGAGUUCCUUUUGGGCGCACAUUUCCUGACCUCAGCGCCUUGAUUCCCUUUCCUUUUCCUUCAAGAAGAUAAGGCCAUCCGUCGCUGUUUGCAAAGCAGAUUUGAAAUGGAAAUCUCCCUUUACCUUUUCUACCAUGACCUGUUGGCUCCUCAUCUUCCACUGGUGUCAGAGGCUGGCAUCCUCCAAGCACACCCACUCAGCUGGGCCGCACCUUGAGCGGGUUUGCAUUACUGGGUUCAGCUCCACGUUACUAGGAGUCUCUUUGGAAAUGGUUGGCUGGUCGCCGCUGAGCUGCUUGAAUUUCCAUCAAUGACGUAACUGUGCAGAGAAUCCCAGCUGAUAGGGGGGAGGGAUUGGGCCCGUGAGCACCUGGGGCUUGAGCUUCCUGCCAACCCCUCAGAUGCUCUUCCACGUGGACAAACAGGUGUUCUUGUGGGCAGGAGCCUCAUAUCUCAGGUUAGUUUGUUUCUUUAAGGUUGUUCUUGUCAAGCCCAGAACAACUCAACAGCCACCCCCGACUUUUAAAAAAAAGCUCUUAAGACCAUCUUUACCAUCUUUACAUUCAGCAACACUGAGCAAAUAGUCCUCUGAAGCCACCGACUGCUUAAAGCUUCUGGAUCUCGGCUCAUGCGGUUCCAGGUGGUUCCCUCUGCCUAGAAUGCAUCCCUUCACAAAGAAAGCCUUCCCUUACCCUGCCCCUGUCAGCAGAGCUAAAUGCCCUUCCUCUCUGCUCCCUCUACACAGCUGAUCUUGCAUUUCUCCCAUACCUAGCACAAGCCCUUCAUUGGCCACAUUACAAGGUAAAACCUACCAUAAGCUAAUCACAGCUGGCGUAAAGCUGGACAAAAAAGGCAACAGUGAUUAAGAAGAGCACUUGCAAUGUGGUUUUACAGCCUCUAGCCUUAAUGAUGAACUUUCCUAAAGGUGUACAGCAGGCCUUUAAAAAGUAGCCUCUGUGGAAAACAGUAUGGUGUUUCCUCAGAAAGUUAAAAGUGGAACUUCCAUUUGACCCAGUAAUCCCACUUCUAGGAAUAUAUUCCAAGAAAACAGAAACACCA
Long non-coding RNA from Myotis lucifugus (little brown bat), 1561 nucleotides. RefSeq lists it as uncharacterized. The record is from RefSeq and is a predicted model, not a curated record. Lineage: Eukaryota; Metazoa; Chordata; Mammalia; Chiroptera; Vespertilionidae. The transcript has 3 exons.